This is a non-coding RNA of Paramuricea clavata, 490 nucleotides long. The record is from the annotation of a GenBank genome assembly. Lineage: Eukaryota; Metazoa; Cnidaria; Anthozoa; Malacalcyonacea; Plexauridae.
GAACUUAGAAUAUAAAAACACUUCAGCCGUUCAGCGAUCAAAACCUUUGAGCUGAUCAAAACUGAUAAAAGUCUAACAGACCGUCAAGAUUUGACUCACUUGCGUGACGUCACAAAAAAUGCUAUCCCCAGACUCCUGUAGCCGACGUCCAUGUGCCAAAAAUUUAUGUGUUUAAACCGCUCUAAAAUUUUUCCUUUUUAAUGAAAUCAAAAAAUUCUUUCACCAAAACACUCCACAUAAUGUGUACUUUCAAUACACAAAAAAUCAAUUUUUGUGUCAGGGGCACUUUAACGAAUUGGCCAAUCGUAGCGCGUGUAUAUUAAGCUUCUCACCAAUAGCUAAUCACGUUUGAGCACAGAAAUCCAUGCAAUUCAAAAGAUGGCACGAAUACGGUAUUGUUCGGUUUGUUCCCUGGUUCGCAGACUGAUUUUUUCCCAUUUAAAGUCAAGCUGCACGCAGGCUAAAUUAUCCCGGAUCAGGGAGUUUCCUG